UCCAACCCAUUGUGACCUUACCUAUGUUCUGUUGCCUCGGCGGCGUGGUCAGCGCCCCUCUGAAAAGAGGACGAUGCCCUCCCGCCGGCAGCACCAAACUCUUUGAAUUUUACAGCGGAUUACAGUUCUGAUUUGAAAACAAAAAAACAAGUUAAAACUUUCAACAACGGAUCUCUUGGUUCUGGCAUCGAUGAAGAACGCAGCGAAAUGCGAUAAGUAAUGUGAAUUGCAGAAUUCAGUGAAUCAUCGAAUCUUUGAACGCACAUUGCGCCCGGCAGUAAUCUGCCGGGCAUGCCUGUCCGAGCGUCAUUUCAACCCUCGAACCUCCGUUUCCUCAGGGAAGCUCAGGGUCGGUGUUGGGGCGCUACGGCGAGUCUUCGCGACCCUCCGUAGGCCCUGAAAUACAGUGGCGGUCCCGCCGCGGUUGCCUUCUGCGUAGUAAGUCUCUUUUGCAAGCUCGCAUUGGGUCCCGGCGGAGGCCUGCCGUCAAACCACCUAUAACUCCAGAUGGUUUGACCUCGGAUCAGGUAGGGUUACCCGCUGAACUUAAGCAUAUCAAUAAGCGGAGGAAAAGAAAAUCU
This 581-nucleotide ribosomal RNA is filed under the name Scedosporium boydii. RNAcentral describes it as "eukaryotic LSU rRNA". The stretch from base 156 to 309 matches the Rfam family "5.8S ribosomal RNA". Lineage: Eukaryota; Fungi; Ascomycota; Sordariomycetes; Microascales; Microascaceae. The record is from RNAcentral.